RNAcentral lists this transfer RNA (74 nucleotides) under Actinomycetes bacterium. Its description in RNAcentral is "Actinobacteria bacterium tRNA-Asn". It matches the Rfam family "tRNA". Rfam says of the family: Transfer RNA (tRNA) molecules are approximately 80 nucleotides in length. Their secondary structure includes four short double-helical elements and three loops (D, anti-codon, and T loops). Further hydrogen bonds mediate the characteristic L-shaped molecular structure. tRNAs have two regions of fundamental functional importance: the anti-codon, which is responsible for specific mRNA codon recognition, and the 3' end, to which the tRNAs corresponding amino acid is attached (by aminoacyl-tRNA synthetases). tRNAs cope with the degeneracy of the genetic code in two manners: having more than one tRNA (with a specific anti-codon) for a particular amino acid; and 'wobble' base-pairing, i.e. permitting non-standard base-pairing at the 3rd anti-codon position. The record is from RNAcentral. RNAcentral also lists the same sequence under 6 other names. Lineage: Bacteria; Bacillati; Actinomycetota; Actinomycetes.
UCCGGGGUAGCUCAAUCAGGCAGAGCAUUCGACUGUUAAUCGAAGGGUUGUGGGUUCGAGUCCCACCCCCGGAG